Long non-coding RNA from Lutra lutra (Eurasian river otter), 2154 nucleotides. RefSeq lists it as uncharacterized. The record is from RefSeq and is a predicted model, not a curated record. Lineage: Eukaryota; Metazoa; Chordata; Mammalia; Carnivora; Mustelidae. The transcript is spliced from 2 exons.
GAUGUGGUAGACCAGCAGGGUCGCUAAGUGUCAAAGAGAAGUGGUCUUUGACUUCUUCAGCAGCUCCCCGCUUCUGUCAUUCGUGUGUUUCCAACGUCCUAUCGGGUGCCCAUGUCCUUGUGAACUAAUAGAAGUGGUGAUUGAGUUGGUGCAGGACUGACUGGUCUCAGGGCAGCCCAGAGCAGAAGCCCGGCUCAAACCUCAGUAGGAUGUCUGCUGGUGGGAGCUGUGGCCGUGCCCAGGAAUGCCGCCCUACAUCUGGAUUGCUUUGUUGAGAUAGAGUUCGCAUCCUACGCAACUCGCCCACUGAUGGUGUUCAGGUCAGUAGUUUUUAGUGUACUCAGAGUUGGGUAAGCAUCCCUGCAACCUAAUUUUAGCCCCCUUUCAUCCCGCCAAAGAGAAACCUCACCUCCUAGCCAUCACGUUCCCGAAGAUUUGCUUAUUCUGGCCAUUUCACGUAUGUGGAGUCAUACACUAUGGGACCUUUUGUGUCUCGCUUCUGUUGCCGAGCGUCAUGUCCUCAACGGUCACCCGCAUCGUAGGAUGUGGCCGUGCUUUGUUCCUUUUUAUCAUUGCAUAAUAAUCCAUUGUAUGGAUAUAUAGCAUUUUGUUGGGCCUUUGAGCAGUCGGUGAACAUUUGAGUGGUUUCCACUUUGGAAACCAUUUAACGAUGGAAUGAACAUUGCUGUAUGAGCUUUCAUGUGGACACUGUCUUCAUUCCUCAUGGGAGUGGAAUGUUGGGUCUGAUGGCAGCUCUGUGCUUACCACUCCAAGAAGCUGCCACACCGAUUUCCGAAGUGCCUACCCCAGUUUUCAUUCCCACCAGCCCCGUAUGAGGGUCCAGUUUCCCCACAGCCUUGCUGACACUUUUAACUUAUUGCCUAUCUCUUUGAUCGCAGUCCUGCUAGUGGGUGUGAAGUGGUGUCUCAUUGUGGUUUUGAUUGGAAUCUCCUUAAUGACUAACAAUGUUGCACAUCUUUUCUUGGGCCUUUCUGGAGCCCGCCUUUCUUUCUUUCUCUUCUUUCUUUCUUUCUUUCUUUCUUUCUUUCUUUUUCUUUCUUCUUUCUUUCCUCUUAAUUCUAGUUUAGAGAGUUUCCCAAACCUUCGUGAGAUUCUGGCUGGGUUUCCCUUGUUGCCGUUGUUACUGUAACUACUCUGUUUCUCCUCUGCCAUGCAAGGAGCCAAGACCAAAGUGAAGGCCAGGGUCACAGUGAAGGGGUACUAGAAAGAGCAGCUGUUGGACACAACUGUGCUGUGAGACGUUCUUGCUAAACAUUUGCCUUGUUAUCUUUUUCAUCGAGAUGCUGGCCUGGCGUUCAGUGUAAGUUCUCUGCAUUGUACUGUGUUUGAGUUCACCAACUGUCAUCGAGAUGAGUUGGGGCAGAAAGGGAGGGAUACAUGGUUGAAUGGAGGCCAAACUGAAAUUCUGAUUCUUGAGCAUGUGAUAAUCCAUGCAAAAUGUUAGCCAACUUCCAGUUCGGUUUUUAAUCUUAUUAGCAGGUAUCUUGGCCACCUGAUACCCUUUCCAGCAGCUGUGAAACCCCAAAGUGUAUUGAAUUCAGUGAGAAUUGCAUACAUGAAAUUUAAGGCCCCAGGUUAGAGCUUGGUGUGUCCUUUAAAUAAAGUCCUUUGCUGAACCGCGUUAGUGCAGAUCAACCACUUUAGAUCACAUCCAAGGCCAAGGCCAGCCGAUGAGGAUAUUUCAAGUGAUUUGGCAGUUUUCACAUGGGCUACCUUUGUCACUGGGUCCAAACUGUGGGAGCAUUUCAGCUUCACUGAAGCCCAUUUGCUUUGGUGCUGACCUCCUCUGGCUGACUGUGCUCAUUACAGUUUUUAAGGAUUGCUGGAGUAUAUGAUUUACGGUGUAAACGAAAGUAGUUAAGUCCCCAAAUCUGAAAAAUACCACAGAACUUUCCUAGUUGUUUAAAAUGAGACCUCACUUAACAUUAACAUCUACGUGCCAGCGGCAUUGUACUUGGGUUUGCUCUCUUUCCAGGGGUCUGCUUUUUAAGGGAGCCCAAGUUAUCAUGAAAUGUGAAAAUCUGCCUGUUCGGGACCAGUCUGUAUAGAUUUGGGUGAAUUGUAUCAGUUCAGGCGCACUAAGCUGUAAGUAAACCAUAGCCACCUCAAAAUAGUUUAAAGAAUGAGUGAACC